Molecule: ribosomal RNA, 403 nt
Filed under: uncultured bacterium
Lineage: Bacteria
Description: bacterial SSU rRNA
Rfam family: Bacterial small subunit ribosomal RNA
Source: RNAcentral
GAUGAACGCUGGCGGCGUGCUUAACACAUGCAAGUCGAACGGGAUCCAUCAGGCUUUGCUUGGUGGUGAGAGUGGCGAACGGGUGAGUAAUGCGUGACCGACCUGCCCCAUACACCGGAAUAGCUCCUGGAAACGGGUGGUAAUGCCGGAUGCUCCAGUUGAUCGCAUGGUCUUCUGGGAAAGCUUUCGCGGUAUGGGAUGGGGUCGCGUCCUAUCAGCUUGACGGCGGGGUAACGGCCCACCGUGGCUUCGACGGGUAGCCGGCCUGAGAGGGCGACCGGCCACAUUGGGACUGAGAUACGGCCCAGACUCCUACGGGAGGCAGCAGUGGGGAAUAUUGCACAAUGGGCGCAAGCCUGAUGCAGCGACGCCGCGUGAGGGAUGGAGGCCUUCGGGUUGUAAA